AGAGUGAACGCUGGCGGUAGGCCUAACACAUGCAAGUCGGACGGCAGCACAGUGGUAGCAAUACCAUGGGUGGCGAGUGGCGGACGGGUGAGGAAUACAUCGGAAUCUACCUUUUGGUGGGGGAUAACGUAGGGAAACUUACGCUAAUACCACAUACGCCCUUCGGGGGAAAGCCGGGGACCUUCGGGCCUGGCGCUGAUAGAUGAGCCGAUGUCGGAUUAGCUAGUUGGUGAGGUAAUGGCUCACCAAGGCGACGAUCCGUAGCUGGUCUGAGAGGAUGAUCAGCCACACUGGAACUGAGACACGGUCCAGACUCCUACGGGAGCAGCAGUGGGGAAUA
RNAcentral lists this ribosomal RNA (340 nucleotides) under uncultured soil bacterium. RNAcentral's name for it is "bacterial SSU rRNA". It matches the Rfam family "Bacterial small subunit ribosomal RNA", at positions 26 to 363 of the family's 1533-position model. The record is from RNAcentral.